CGGACCGGCGCACGGGUGAGUAACGCGUAUGCAACUUACCUAUCAGAGGGGAUAACCCGGCGAAAGUCGGACUAAUACCGCAUGAAGCAGGGGUCCCGCAUGGGGAUAUUUGCUAAAGAUUCAUCGCUGAUAGAUAGGCAUGCGUUCCAUUAGGCAGUUGGCGGGGUAACGGCCCACCAAACCGACGAUGGAUAGGGGUUCUGAGAGGAAGGUCCCCCACAUUGGUACUGAGACACGGACCAA
This 243-nucleotide ribosomal RNA is filed under the name uncultured bacterium. RNAcentral describes it as "partial 16S ribosomal RNA". It matches the Rfam family "Bacterial small subunit ribosomal RNA", at positions 91 to 334 of the family's 1533-position model. The record is from RNAcentral.